GGCCUCGUAGCUCAGCUGGUAGAGCACUCGCGGUACUAAAGUGAAGGUGAUAACCAUGCGUGGGUUGGAAUCCCGUCGGGGCCA
This 84-nucleotide transfer RNA is filed under the name Fasciola hepatica (liver fluke). It matches the Rfam family "tRNA". Rfam says of the family: Transfer RNA (tRNA) molecules are approximately 80 nucleotides in length. The record is from Rfam by way of RNAcentral. Lineage: Eukaryota; Metazoa; Platyhelminthes; Trematoda; Plagiorchiida; Fasciolidae.